GAUGCAGGUGACGGCAGUGUAGAUGGUGGAGGAAGGAAAGCUCCUUUCUUUGAAGGAGGGCAUUUCAUUAGCUCUGGAAUGAAAAGCCUCAUCCUUGAGCAGAUGCGGCGGAGACACAGGAACUGAGAGAAGGGUAUGAUGUUGCUACUCGUAUCAGGGUGAGAAGAGGUACAAUCCAGGUAGCUGUGGGAAUCUAUGGGUUUAUAAAAGAUAUCAGUAGAUAAACUGUCUCCAGAGAUAGAGACAGAGAGAUCAAGAAAGGAGAGGGAGGCGUUGGGAAUGGACAAGGUAAAUUUAAGGGCAGGGAGGAAGUUGGAUGCAAAGUUGAUGAAGUUGACGAGCUCAGCAUGGGUGCAGGAAACAGCACCAAUGCAGUCAUUAACGUAGCAUAGGAAAAGUUGCGGGGGGGUAGAUACCAGUGCAGGCUUGGACUAUAGACUGUUCCAUGCAGCUGACAGAAAGGCAGGCUUACCGGGGACCCAUACGAGUGCCCAUGGCUAUACCUUUGAUUUGUGGGAAGUGGCAGAAGCCAAAGGAGAAAUUAUUGAGAGCGAGGACCUGUUCCACCAGACGGAGGGGAAUGGUGUGGAAAGGAACAGAUCGGGUCUGUUAUCUAGAAAGAAGUGGAGAGCUUUAGGGCCCUCCUGAUGGGGGAAAGAGGUCCAUAAGAACUAGACGUCCAUAGCGAAAAUGAGACGGGGAUCUUGAAGUCAUUGAAAAGAUCCAGAGUGUGUGAAGUGUCACAGGUGUAGGUAGGAAGGAACCGGAGGAUAAAACAAAGUUGAGAUAUUCAGAUACUUCACCGUUCCCCAAUUCCCAUGUCCCUCACUCACCUUAUCUCCCUACCUGUCCAUCACCUCCCCCUGGUGCUCCACCCGUUCCCUUUCUUCCAGGACAUAAACUCUCAGUUUGUUGAUGGAAGCACAAGGUGACGGCACGGAGAUGGGAUCCACUGCCACUGAUAUCGGUACACAAAGCCUGAGAAGGACACCACUUUAGCUGGGCCACAGCGGGUGUUUGGCGCAGGCAAACAUGAAGCAGGUUCUCUUGACGACCCUGACCUGGAUUAAUACUCUGACUCCGGUUCUUUGAGGGAAUGAGACUUGCUCUCAGGGCCUCAUGACCGGCCGCUUUCUGAUAUGUCAAGGACGCGGCCUGGAAGACUAGCAUGCCUUCAGGGUGCCAGACUGUCCUUGCUCUGGAGGUGGGCUCAUUCAAGGCCGGUGACCCUGUUUGAGGUGUCGUGGGAGAACACAGAACAUCAGGAGUUGUGUGUUGAGAGACCUGUGCCUUUCUGGGGCCGAUUCUCUGGGAGAAGAGCUCAGAGGAAGCAAAGCAACAGACUUUUAACACCAUAAAUCAGCAAGUUGUUUGUUAUGCCUCCCCUCUCGCUGUGAAAUGGGACACCUCUUUUUCCCUUAUUAGGGAAAGAGAGAGAGAGAGCCUGUGGUGCUUCCUUUCAUCGUCACCCACUUUGCCUCUCACUUCUAAGUAUUUAAACUUCUAUCCAUUGAAACAUGACAGCCGGGAGAUGUGAGAUUAUGUAUUGCAUUGAACUGCUGCUGCUAUAUUAACAAAUUUCACGUCACAUGUCGGUGAUAAUAAACCUGAUUCUGAUUCUGACAUCCUCAAAACAGAAGAGAAACCCCAAAGAAUGAAUGAGAGAAACAAGGUGAGAACACAAAAGCCUCUGCUCCCCUAACACGCACAACAACAGCAAGUAGCGUCAACCCUCCCCACUCCACUUCCCCCCACUUAUUCUAGCAGAAAGCAUGAACGAUCCCACCACCUACCAUGCAAGCAACAGCAAAGCCCCCAAAGAGAGACCAUGGUCUAUAGUCCAUUAAAAAGUGUUAAUUCCAAUAAUUCAACAUCCCUCAGGCUCUCUCUCUCUCUCUCAGAGACAGAUAUGACUCCUUCCACAGUGAAAGGGGAGACAGUCACUGUUUUGAAGUUAUAGUCAGACUGAGGCGUUGCUUUUUAUUUUGAGUUUCCUGACUUGAUAAUCGACAGCAAGCUCUCAGUAACCAUCGAGAGCGAGAGAGAUAGUGUUCACCCAAGUGCUGAGGACACUGACAGCCGCAAUGUUCCAGCUUCCCAUGACGCUUCAGAUCGCAACAUCAGCGAGCAUUUGCAUCCACGGGGCCAUGCGAGGUUGCAUCGUCAAGGUGCCCAGUGUCAGGCCACACCUGGACAUAUUGAAAAAGCGGCCACUCAGCGAGCUCCAAGAACGGGAAUACACCGCUAUGCAAAACCGUACAUAUAAAUUGUAAUGAAUUACUUAAAUGAACAAGAAUGCUUAAUUAACCAAUAUAUAUACAAGAUUGCUCAAAUAUUGUGUAAAUAUUAAAUACACAACAAUUACCCCUCAACCAUCUGGCUUUUGAACCAUUGGGAAUAACUUCACCCAACUUCACUCAUGCUGUCACUAUAUUUCUCCUACCACUUACAGACUGACCUUCAAGCACUCUUGAUCUCUUGUUCUUGAUAUUAUUUAUUGAUUGUUGUUUAUCUAUUUAUUAUCGAUUUGUUUUAGAGAUUGUACAGGUGUUGUCUUUUGUCAUAUUGGUUGUUUGUCCAUCCUGAUGGGUAUGGCCUUCCACGGAUUCUAUUGUAUUUUUUGUAUUUGGUGUGAGUGCCCACAAGAAAAUGAGAGAUUUGCAGUAUUAUAUAUGAUGACAUAAGUGUGCUUUGAUAAUAAAUUUAUUUUGAACUUUGAACUUCAGUGCAAUACCAGGCUGCGAGUAAAACGUUUAAUUCCAUCUCACUGAUUAAAUCUUCCAUUGUUUGCCUAUUAAUGUAAUGAGGGAGAUUGAAACAUGAAGGUCCAUGCAGAAGCACGGAGAGUGGAGAACGUUCGGGUGUUCCAGCACUCUGCAGUCUCCGAGAGGAUUCUGGCAGACAGAGACAGCGUGCGCCGAGUUCAUGGAAGGACGGCUGCAGGAUGGGGCGCAAGCUGUGGUUGGACUCCAUUUCACUGAUUAAAGCUUCCAAUGUUCGCUGAUUAAGCAACAAAGGAGAUUGAGGCAUUGGGGAAAGUGUUGAGGAUGAGUGCUGGCUGCUUGUCUUUUGAUCGCUCUGUACCAGAGAGGGAAAGGUCUGUCACUGUGCCCAGAGAGUGUUCCCUAGGCUUUCUGUGUUUUGAAUAUGAAUUUGGACUAUAGACUUUUUUUCCAGUCUUAUGGGGUUUUAUAUUCAGU
Molecule: long non-coding RNA, 3200 nt
Organism: Hypanus sabinus (Atlantic stingray)
Lineage: Eukaryota; Metazoa; Chordata; Chondrichthyes; Myliobatiformes; Dasyatidae
Exons: 4
Source: RefSeq, a predicted model, not a curated record